Molecule: ribosomal RNA, 253 nt
Filed under: uncultured bacterium
Lineage: Bacteria
Description: partial 16S ribosomal RNA
Rfam family: Bacterial small subunit ribosomal RNA
Source: RNAcentral
UACGUAGGGUGCGAGCGUUAAUCGGAAUUACUGGGCGUAAAGCGUGCGUAGGCGGUUCGUUAAGUUCGUUGUGAAAGCCCCGGGCUCAACCUGGGAAUGGCAAUGGAAACUGGCGGGCUGGAGUAUGGCAGAGGGGGGUGGAAUUCCGCGUGUAGCAGUGAAAUGCGUAGAUAUCUGGAGGAACACCGGUGGCGAAGGCGGCAUCCUGGACCGGCAUUGACGCUGAGGCGCGAAAGCCAGGGGAGCAAACGGG